GCCGAGGUAGCUCAGUUGGUUAGAGCAGCUGUUUUGUAAACAGCAGGUCGUGAGUUCGAAUCUCACCCUCGGCUCUA
RNAcentral lists this transfer RNA (77 nucleotides) under Candidatus Kaiserbacteria bacterium RIFCSPLOWO2_01_FULL_52_12b. Its description in RNAcentral is "tRNA-Thr". It matches the Rfam family "tRNA". Rfam says of the family: Transfer RNA (tRNA) molecules are approximately 80 nucleotides in length. Their secondary structure includes four short double-helical elements and three loops (D, anti-codon, and T loops). The record is from RNAcentral. Lineage: Bacteria; Candidatus Kaiseribacteriota.